RNAcentral lists this ribosomal RNA (253 nucleotides) under uncultured bacterium. Its description in RNAcentral is "partial 16S ribosomal RNA". It matches the Rfam family "Bacterial small subunit ribosomal RNA", at positions 524 to 776 of the family's 1533-position model. The record is from RNAcentral.
GACAGAGGGGGCAAGCGUUGUCCGGAUUUACUGGGCGUACAGCGCGCGCAGGCGGUGGUGUAGGUACCUGGUGACAGUCUCGGGCUCAACUCGAGAGGGUCUGGGUAGACCGCACCGCUGGAGGCAGGGAGAGGGAUGUGGAAUACCCGGUGGAGCGGUGAAAUGCGUAGAGAUCGGGUGGAACACCAGUGGCGAAGGCGGCAUCCUGGCCCUGACCUGACGCUGAGGCGCGAGAGCGUGGGGAGCAAACGGG